AUGAAUGUCGCAAUAAUGCCGAGAUGGGUUUCGUGGAUAUUGUGCGGUGAGUGAGGCCUAUGGCUCCAGCUCAUUCAGGCAAAAUACCUUAGGGGCGAGCCCGUGUUGGCAUGCUCUCGGACGGGAGGGUCACAGUUUUGGCGUUCCAUCCAGAGGAACAAGGAAGAAAUCCGGCUAGGGAUUUCUUUCUCCAUAGGGAAUGGAACCGAGACCCAAUUCUGGCUGGACCCAUGGUGGGUGCAGAACCGAUCCGCGUGA
This 258-nucleotide ribosomal RNA is filed under the name Triticum aestivum (bread wheat). RNAcentral's name for it is "partial small subunit ribosomal RNA". Lineage: Eukaryota; Viridiplantae; Streptophyta; Magnoliopsida; Poales; Poaceae. The record is from RNAcentral.